CGAUCAGUAGCCGGCCUGAGAGGGUGAACGGCCACAUUGGGACUGAGACACGGCCCAAACUCCUACGGGAGGCAGCAGUGGGGAAUAUUGCACAAUGGGGGAAACCCUGAUGCAGCGACGCCGCGUGAGUGAAGAAGUAUUUCGGUAUGUAAAGCUCUAUCAGCAGGGAAGAAAUACUGACCAUAGGGUCAGCAGACGGUACUUGACUAAGAAGCCCCGGCUAACUACGUGCCAGCAGCCGCGGUAAUACGUAGGGGGCAAGCGUUAUCCGGAUUUACUGGGUGUAAAGGGAGCGUAGACGGCAGCGCAAGUCUGAAGUGAAAUGCCAGGGCUUAACCCUGGAACUGCUUUGGAAACUGUGCAGCUAGAGUGCAGGAGAGGUAAGUGGAAUUUCUAGUGUAGCGGUGAAAUGCGUAGAUAUUAGGAGGAACACCAGUGGCGAAGGCGGCUUACUGGACUGUAACUGACGUUGAGGCUCGAAAGCGUGGGGAGCAAACAGGAUUAGAUACCCUGGUAGUCCACGCUGUAAACGAUGAUUACUAGGUGUUGGG
RNAcentral lists this ribosomal RNA (551 nucleotides) under uncultured bacterium. RNAcentral's name for it is "bacterial SSU rRNA". It matches the Rfam family "Bacterial small subunit ribosomal RNA", at positions 277 to 827 of the family's 1533-position model. The record is from RNAcentral.